RNAcentral lists this long non-coding RNA (505 nucleotides) under Androctonus crassicauda. Lineage: Eukaryota; Metazoa; Arthropoda; Arachnida; Scorpiones; Buthidae. The record is from RNAcentral.
GGAACCAAAACCUAAACCACAGGUAUUUUAAUAUAAAUGCAUUUUAAAAAUUAUUUUUCUAAAAAGAAUAUGAAUUUUAAUUUUUAUUAAAAUAAUUUAGCCCACUAAAGGAAAAGAGAAAGAAGCUAAAGAUGGUAAAGCUACAAGUGUUCCUUCAGGAGAAAGUACAGAUACAGAGAAGGAAGCUAAAGAAGAAUCAUCUCCCCCUCCAAGUAUAUAACUUUCUAUUAUUUCAAAAUUUUCAUUUAAAAUUAUGUAAUGUAAGUAAAUAUACUUAUAAACAGAGUUUUAUGAUUUGUCACAAUUCAGUUGAGCAGAAUGCACUAAAUUUGAUGGUACAGAUAUCUAAUAUACAGUAUAUGCUCAAUAUAUGAGGGAAUAAAUAAAUAAUAGAAUUUCCUAAUCCUAACCAGUGUGAGUUCUAAAAUUUAAAUCUGGAUGGAGACAACAUUUAUUUAAUGGCACAAAAAAUUAAAAAAAAAAUUUUUUUUUGUUGACAGAUGGC